GCUGGGCAUGGUGGUGUGUGCCUGUAAUCCCAGCUACUCGGGAAGCUGAGGCAGGAGAAUCACUUGAUCCCAGGAGGUGGAGGUUGUAGUGAGCCAAGAUCACGCCACUGCACUCCAGUCUGGGCAAUAAAGAGAGAUUCUGCCUCAA
Molecule: non-coding RNA, 148 nt
Filed under: Nomascus leucogenys (northern white-cheeked gibbon)
Lineage: Eukaryota; Metazoa; Chordata; Mammalia; Primates; Hylobatidae
Source: Rfam by way of RNAcentral